Ostrinia furnacalis (Asian corn borer) is the source of this 200-nucleotide long non-coding RNA. RefSeq lists it as uncharacterized. Lineage: Eukaryota; Metazoa; Arthropoda; Insecta; Lepidoptera; Crambidae. The transcript is spliced from 3 exons. The record is from RefSeq and is a predicted model, not a curated record.
AGGGUUGAACUCUUCGCCGCUUUAGGAUAUCAGCACCCGUAGUUUAAUCAGCACCAAGAUUUAAUUCCAAGUACUAGAUGAGCACUAAUGCGCCGGCGCCGUAACGGCAAUGGGAACGGCCGCGUCCCUCGUCGCCCUGGCAGAUUGUUAAGUAAAUUCGAGUACCAACUUAUUGAUAUCGAAGCGUUACGAGGAUAAGC